This 492-nucleotide ribosomal RNA is filed under the name uncultured bacterium. RNAcentral's name for it is "partial 16S ribosomal RNA". It matches the Rfam family "Bacterial small subunit ribosomal RNA", at positions 29 to 507 of the family's 1533-position model. The record is from RNAcentral.
AGUGAACGCUGGCGGUAGGCCUAACACAUGCAAGUCGAACGGCAGCACAGUAAGAGCUUGCUCUUACGGGUGGCGAGUGGCGGACGGGUGAGGAAUACAUCGGAAUCUACUUUUUCGUGGGGGAUAACGUAGGGAAACUUACGCUAAUACCGCAUACGACCUACGGGUGAAAGCAGGGGAUCUUCGGACCUUGCGCGAUUGAAUGAGCCGAUGUCGGAUUAGCUAGUUGGCGGGGUAAAGGCCCACCAAGGCGACGAUCCGUAGCUGGUCUGAGAGGAUGAUCAGCCACACUGGAACUGAGACACGGUCCAGACUCCUACGGGAGGCAGCAGUGGGGAAUAUUGGACAAUGGGCGUAAGCCUGAUCCAGCCAUACCGUGUGGGUGAAGAAGGCCUUCGGGUUGUAAAGCCCUUUUGUUGGGAAAGAAAAGCAGCAGGUUAAUACCCCGCUGUUCUGACGGUACCCAAAGAAUAAGCACCGGCUAACUUCGUG